CAAAUAAAUUUCGACGCAACAUUCAGAACAAACAUAGCACACUGACGAUCAAUGUUAGAAUAGUAUAAUAGGUCUCACAUUAAAUUAAUAAUGCGCCUCAUUUUUUGUUUUGAUCUUUAUCAUCUUUUUUCUUUUCUUUGUUUUGCGCAUU
This 151-nucleotide non-coding RNA is filed under the name Elphidium margaritaceum. Lineage: Eukaryota; Foraminifera; Rotaliida; Elphidiidae. The record is from RNAcentral.